AUCAGGUCUGAGGCAGCAGAGCGGGCGGGGCCCUGACUUCUCCUGCAUCCCUGCGCUCGCUUUUCUCCGCCUACGUGAGCGCCGCCCACCCACUCGCGGCGUGAACCCACAGGGCCCGGCCUCUCCUUUCCCCUCCCCUCGGCCUGGUGCUGAAUCAUGAGCCCACUAUCUCCAAAAGAUUAGAAAAAUUUGGAUCAAGAAGAUCAAUUAAACCUGAAGAUUCAUCAUAAACUAACUGUAAGUAGCUAAACAUCUAGUGUGUAACAUUUCCCCACAAAAUUUGCAGAGAUGAAGUAUGGAGAUAUAUAGUACAAUGGCAAAUAUUUUUUUUUAGUUGUAGUCGAACCUAAUACCUUUAUUUUAUUUGUUUAUUUUUAUAUGGUGCUAGGAGAGUGCUCUACUGCUGAGCUCCAGCCCCAGCCCCCAAUAGUAAAUAUUUGAAGUAAAAUAAUACUACAUAGUGUAGAUGGGCCUUGGCAGACAUAAAGGUUGCAGACAAUUUUGAAUGAAAAAGCAAAAGGUAAUAAAUACUUUUUAAAAAUAUUCUUGGGCUGGGGUUGUGGCUCAGUGGUAGAGCACUUACCUCGCAUGUGUGAGGUACUGGGUUCAAUCCUCAGCACCACAGAAAAAUAAAGACACUGUGUCCAUCUAUAACUACAGUUUUUUACCAGCAUUACAUCUAUAACUAAAUAUAUAUAUAUAUAUUUAUAUACAUAUAUAUGUAUUAUUCUUGAUCUCUCCUUUUUUGCUGCUUAUUUCUGCCUACAAACUUAGUUGUUGUCAAUACCCUAGAAACACUGUCACUUCAUGUUACCUGACCCACAAGAUACCUUCAUCCCAUUUUUCAUUUUCUCAGUUUUCUUCACCCCAGCAUUUGGUUGUUACCCACACUAUCUAUUGAUCAGUUCUCUUUUAAAAAAGACCACUGCUAGCCUUUUAAGAACCAUAUUCUUGGUCUCUGCUUACUGUUCAUCAAAAGCUACUCUUCACCUUGCACUCUCAGCGAAAUUCCUAUGAUGAUUUGAGAUAGGACCACCAUGCUGCUGAUUGUCAAAUCUGUAUAUCUAGUCUUAUGUACUCUUAAGGAGAAAGAAUCAUCACACCAGAGAUGACCUUACAACUGCCUGAAGUUAUCUCUACUCAGUUUUCAGUUAUCUCUACUCAGUUUCUUACCAGCAUUACAAAAUCAACAUGUUAGAAACCAAACUCUCUUACCCACUGCUGCCAAAUCAUCUUACACAUUCCAUAUUUCAGUCAGUAGUUCUAGCAACUUAAGAGCUCUGAACACUGUAAACCAAGUUUACAUAAUGGUUUUAAAAGAGGAUGUGUUCAACAGAAUUACAUUCCCCAACACUAAUGAAACCAUACUGAAGAGAAAUUUCUUCACCCCUGUACCUAUGAACCAUCUCCUGUGUCCUUUUAACAUGUGCAUGAUUUGUCUUUGAAUAUUUCCUUGUUUUCUGGCACAAGGAAAUAUUCCAGGUUUUCUGUUUUAUUUUCCCUGCUUCAGAACUGGAAUUAGCUAUUUCUCCAAAAAGAUCUGGCUCCUUUAAUGAAGAAAUAUUUUGGCUAGCUAUAAGGUAUUUAGAAAAAAAGGUCUGGGUGCUGUUGUGCUUACUGUGGGCUGAGUGUCACUGUUUCUUGAGUCUUUUAAUAGCCAUUACUAGAAGACAUUUGUUUUUUUUAAAUGAUGAUUUUAAUGAACUUUGAGGAAAAUGUUCCAUUAUAUGAAAAUACAAAUAUACAUGGUUAUUUAUUGUGGAUUUUUUUGUAACUGUAAAAUAUUGGAAACAAGAUAAAUACACAUACAUAGAAAAGGGUUUAAAUAACUUAUAAUAUAUCUACACAAUAAAAUGCUACAUAGUUAUAAAAAAAGAAUACAGAAGAACUUUAUGAACUAGUGAAAGUAAUCUCCCUCCUGUUAAAUAGCGGGGAGGGGUGUCAAGAGGCUGAUAAUAUAACUUUUCUGUAAGAAAGAAUGUGAAAAAAAAAGAAAUGUCUUGUUAAUCUGUGCAAAAUAAAUACAAUCAGAAUAAACAGAAGCCAAAGACAUUGUUUACCUAUGGGAGAUAGUAAGAACAGAGCAGAAACAAAGGAGAAUGGAAAGUAGGUCAUAAGGAUUGGAGGUACUAUUCUCUAAGUGUAAACUUUUUGUGUAACUGAUUCUUAGAACCGUGGUACUGUUUCCCAUUCUCCAAAAUGGAUAAAUAAUUAAAACUAACCACAAUAUGGUGAGAACUAAAAGUGGAAUUGCAAGCAGUUAAAAAAAAAAGUGAACCUAAUUGUAUUAUAGGUAAAUGACAAAACUACACUGAAGGAUGUAGAAUGCAUUUACUGCAUGCUACAAGCCUAAAGACAAAAAGAACUAUAUACAAACAUUGCACUCUAGUUUGGAACUUUUUUCUCCCAGCUUAUAGGAAUUAGAAAUUCUGAAAUUAUUUUAUUUAUGUUCUAGGACUGAAUAAAUAUGUGAUGCAUAAUGAGAGGGGUCAUGUUUAAUACCGGAAGUAAAGCAUAAUAAGGAAGAAGAAAGAAAGAAGAUAGAAUGAACUUUAUGGUAUUGAAUUGGAAGCUGAGGUAUUAAAUAAAAUGCAAAUAACUCAAUUUUUUAAAACAGGCAAAAGAUUUAAAUUGGCAUUCAUCCAUAGAAGACAUACAAAUGGCCAUAAGGACAUGAAAAGAUGCUCAACAUCUUUAGUUAUUAGCGAAAUGCAAAUCAAAAUCACAAUAAGAUACCAUUUCAUUGCCUACUAGGUUAACUGUAGUCAGAAAGACAACAACAAGUGUCGAUGAGGAUGUUGAGAAAUUGACAUCCUUACACUCUGGUGGUAGGAAUAAAAAAUGGUGCAGUCACUUUAGAAUACAGUCUUGUAGUUAUUCAAAAAGUUAAACAAGGGAUUAACAUGACCUAGGAAUUUUAUAUAUAUAUGUAUGUCCCAAGGAAAUUACAAAAUAUGUCCACACAAAAACAUGCACAGUAAGUUCAUAACAAGAUUAAUAAUAAUAUUCAAAGAUAGAAACAACCCAAAUUCUAAAUAACUAAUGAAUGGGAAAACACAGUAUGGUAUAUAUUCAUGUACCAUAAUAUUACUUGGUCAUAAAAAAUUAAGUACUAAUAUAUGCUACAACAUAGAUGGGCCUGGAAAAUAUUAUGCCAAGUGAAAGAAGCCAGCCACAAAGACCACAAAUUGUAUGAUUUCAUUUAUAUGAAGUUCCUAGAAUAGGAAAAUCUACAUAUACAAAAAGGAAGCUAAUUGUUACUUAGGGAUGAUAGACAGAGUAUGGGAUGCUGGGGAGAAAUUAGAGCAUAAAAAUUGCUGAAUUGUACAACUUAAAUUGUGAAUUGUAUAGUACUUGAAUUAUAUCUUAUAAAGUUUUUUUAAGUCAAACAUCAAGUUUAUUUUCAAUUAAAAACAAUAUUCCUCCAUA
Molecule: non-coding RNA, 3429 nt
Organism: Ictidomys tridecemlineatus (thirteen-lined ground squirrel)
Lineage: Eukaryota; Metazoa; Chordata; Mammalia; Rodentia; Sciuridae
Source: RefSeq, a predicted model, not a curated record